CAAUACAAUACAUUAUCUCGCGAGAAAGCUUUAACACGUUUUUAUCUUUCCAUAACCAUGAGGAGAGCUCGUCUAUUUGUUGCAAAGCUUUACGAUUUACUACAAAAUCACUGGUGGUGGAUGCACAACAUGACACCAUCAACGUCAACAACACUCGUGGACCCAUGGACACAUGUUGAGGUGGUCACAUAACGAACAGCCAUCUGUCAGGCCAUGUGCCACAACCAAACAAGUAUUGUCUCCAGUCCCAGAUGCUUCAUUGCCAUCCCAGUCCCAGAGGACCCCCCCAGUGUAUGUGAGAACUUUGCUGUCGCAUCUUAUUUUAUACACAUUAUACCUUAAUACCAACACAGCCUAAUGUAUAAAUACAUACAUUUCUCUGAAUCAGAAUUCAUACAGUUAAAAAUAUAGAGGCUACAAUGUCUGUCAUUGCUCAACAAGUACAGCCAGCUAAUUUGACAGUAACUAAUGCAGUAAAAUUGCACAGCAGUCUUAUUACUUUACCUUCACUUAAAGCCAACCCUGGUCAUCGAGAGCCACUGCACUGCUUGUUUUCCAGCUGUCCCUGCCCUUCCAGCUUCUGACUGACAACACACCUGAUCCAUUACUAAUCAGCAGUGAGUAAGGCAUGGAUAGUUGGUAAACAAGCAGAUGCUCUGAAGAGGUGGAGUCCAACUGCCACAGACUCCGAAAUUGAUGCAUCAAUGGCGGAACACCUAAAACACGCUCCAGGAAGAGCUGGGGGCGGUGGUUAUAAGAAAUAAGCGGUUUUGAGCGACAUUUACAUGUGUGUUUACAUUAAUCCAGUAUUUUUGUUUUGUGCUUGUUUGAUUUAUAGCUGUUUAAAAUUAAUGCAAAACUAUUUCAAAACUGUUUCAAUUAAAAAAUUGAGUACUGCCACAAUAAUAAUGCUUCUGGAAGAGCAAGUGCUUGUGGAGCAACAAAAUGAUAGUAAACAUUUUGGAAUAAUAAAAAAUAAAUAAAAGAUUAUAAAUAUACAUAUGUGUUCACUUUUAUCCGUUACCUUGGUUAUGUUCUUGUUUGAAUAAUGGCUACUUAAAAUUAAUGUCAAGCUUUUGAGAAAAUUGGUGCAUGCUUAGAAUUAACUGCAUUGUACUAUUUCUAUUUUCAUGUUUAAAUAGCAGUUGUUUAACAAAUGAAAGAGCUUGGAAAAAAUGUAAUGCACAAAAUAUGUUGUAGUAAAUUAGAACGGUCUAAUUCUUGCUUAAGUCCACAAAAUAUUUUAUUGUUUGUAAUGUACACAUGAUUAAAACGUUUUGUAGACGUUCAGGUCUGACUGGACCG
Long non-coding RNA from Labeo rohita (rohu), 1305 nucleotides. RefSeq lists it as uncharacterized. The transcript has 5 exons. Lineage: Eukaryota; Metazoa; Chordata; Actinopteri; Cypriniformes; Cyprinidae. The record is from RefSeq and is a predicted model, not a curated record.